Molecule: transfer RNA, 83 nt
Filed under: Alphaproteobacteria bacterium
Lineage: Bacteria; Pseudomonadati; Pseudomonadota; Alphaproteobacteria
Description: tRNA-Arg
Source: RNAcentral
GCGGAGCGUGGCGGCGGCUGGCCGCUUAAUUUCCCAAAUUCCUAAUCUGGGGGUCGCAGGUUCGAAUCCUGCCGGGCGCGCCA